This 253-nucleotide ribosomal RNA is filed under the name uncultured bacterium. RNAcentral describes it as "partial 16S ribosomal RNA". It matches the Rfam family "Bacterial small subunit ribosomal RNA", at positions 524 to 776 of the family's 1533-position model. The record is from RNAcentral.
UACGUAGGCAGCAAGCGUUGUUCGGAAUUACUGGGCGUAAAGAGUGUGUAGGCGGUGCUCUAAGUUCGGUGUGAAAUCUCCCGGCUUAACUGGGAGGGUGCGCCGGAAACUGGAGUGCUCGAGCGUGGGAGAGGAAAGCGGAAUUCCUGGUGUAGCGGUGAAAUGCGUAGAUAUCAGGAGGAACACCUGCGGUGUAGACGGCUUUCUGGACCAUUGCUGACGCUGAGACACGAAAGCGUGGGGAGCAAACAGG